GAGCGCCGUAGCAAUACGGAGCGGCAGACGGGAGAGUAACACGUGGGAACGUGCCCUUCAGUUCGGAACAACCCAGGGAAACUUGGGCUAAUACCGGAUACGUCCGUAAGGAGAAAGAUUUAUCGCUGAAGGAUCGGCCCGCGUCUGAUUAGCUUGUUGGUGAGGUAACGGCUCACCAAGGCGACGAUCAGUAGCUGGUCUGAGAGGAUGAUCAGCCUCACUGGGACUGAGACACGGCCCAGACUCCUACGGGAGGCAGCAGUGGGGAAUAUUGGACAAUGGGCGCAAGCCUGAUCCAGCCAUGCCGCGUGGGUGAUGAAGGCCUUAGGGUUGUAAAGCCCUUUCGGCGGGGAAGAUAAUGACGGUACUGGUGGAAGAAGCACCGGCUAACUCUGUG
This 397-nucleotide ribosomal RNA is filed under the name uncultured bacterium. Its description in RNAcentral is "bacterial SSU rRNA". It matches the Rfam family "Bacterial small subunit ribosomal RNA", at positions 64 to 507 of the family's 1533-position model. The record is from RNAcentral.